GGCCCCCUGGACAGAUACUGACACUCAGAUGCGAAAGCGUGGGGAGCAAACAGGAUUAGAUACCCUGGUAGUCCACGCCGUAAACGAUGUCUACUUGGAGGUUGUGGCCUUGAGCCGUGGCUUUCGGAGCUAACGCGUUAAGUAGACCGCCUGGGGAGUACGGUCGCAAGAUUAAAACUCAAAUGAAUUGACGGGGGCCCGCACAAGCGGUGGAGCAUGUGGUUUAAUUCGAUGCAACGCGAAGAACCUUACCUACUCUUGACAUCCACAG
RNAcentral lists this ribosomal RNA (271 nucleotides) under Vibrionaceae bacterium. RNAcentral's name for it is "partial 16S ribosomal RNA". It matches the Rfam family "Bacterial small subunit ribosomal RNA", at positions 723 to 993 of the family's 1533-position model. Lineage: Bacteria; Pseudomonadati; Pseudomonadota; Gammaproteobacteria; Vibrionales; Vibrionaceae. The record is from RNAcentral.